This 398-nucleotide ribosomal RNA is filed under the name Strombidinopsis sinicum. Its description in RNAcentral is "partial small subunit ribosomal RNA". It matches the Rfam family "Eukaryotic small subunit ribosomal RNA", at positions 30 to 432 of the family's 1831-position model. The record is from RNAcentral. Lineage: Eukaryota; Ciliophora; Spirotrichea; Choreotrichida; Strombidinopsidae.
GCUUGUCUCAAAGAUUAAGCCAUGCAUGUCUCAGUAUAAGCUUUUACACGGCGAAACUGCGAAUGGCUCAUUAAAACAGUUAUCGUUUCUUUGGUGGUUAUUGAUUACAUGGAUAACCGUGGUAAUUCUAGAGCUAAUACAUGCUGUUAAGCCUGACUUCUUGAAGGGCUGUAUUUAUUAGAUAACAGACCAAUAUUCCUCGUGUCUAUUGUGGUGACUCAUAGUAACUGAUCGGAUCGCACGGGCUUGCCCGCGACAAACCAUUCAAGUUUCUGCCCCAUCAGCUUUCGAUGGUAGUGUAUUGGACUACCAUGGCUUUUACGGGUAACGGAGGAUUAGGGUUCGAUUCCGGAGAGGGAGCCUGAGAAACGGCUACCACAUCUAAGGAAGGCAGCAGG